This 253-nucleotide ribosomal RNA is filed under the name uncultured bacterium. Its description in RNAcentral is "partial 16S ribosomal RNA". It matches the Rfam family "Archaeal small subunit ribosomal RNA", at positions 474 to 727 of the family's 1478-position model. The record is from RNAcentral.
UACCAGCACCCCGAGUGGUCGGGACGAUUAUUGGGCCUAAAGCAUCCGUAGCCGGCCUUACAAGUCCUCCGUUAAAUCCAGCUGCUUAACAGAUGGGCUGCGGAGGAUACUAUAAGACUAGGAGGCAGGAGAGGCAAGCGGUACCCAGUGGGUAGGGGUAAAAUCCGUUGAUCCAUUGAAGACCACCAGUGGCGAAGGCGGCUUGCCAGAAUGCGCUCGACGGUGAGGGAUGAAAGCUGGGGGAGCAAACCGG